GUUUCUGAAGCCGAACAAAGCUGUGAUAGUGUUGCAGGGCCGUUACGCGGGGAAGAAGGCGGUGAUAGUGCGAACCUUCGAUGACGGCACGCGCGAGCGCCCCUACGGUCACUGUUUGGUUGCAGGAAUAAAGAAGUAUCCCAGCAAGGUCAUAAAGAAGGACUCGGCCAAGAAGACCGCCAAGAAGUCGCGCGUGAAGGCCUUCAUCAAGCUCGUCAAUUACCAGCACUUGAUGCCCACUCGCUACACGCUCGACGUGGACCUCAAGGACGCCGUCAAUCCCGAUGUCCUCCACGCCAAGGAUAAGAAGGUCACCGCCC
RNAcentral lists this long non-coding RNA (320 nucleotides) under Vigna radiata. RNAcentral's name for it is "long non-coding RNA (VRAD_LNC003276)". The record is from RNAcentral. Lineage: Eukaryota; Viridiplantae; Streptophyta; Magnoliopsida; Fabales; Fabaceae.